This 341-nucleotide RNase P RNA is filed under the name Candidatus Saccharibacteria bacterium 32-50-10. Its description in RNAcentral is "RNase P RNA component class A". It matches the Rfam family "Bacterial RNase P class A". From Rfam's summary of the family: Ribonuclease P (RNase P) is a ubiquitous endoribonuclease, found in archaea, bacteria and eukarya as well as chloroplasts and mitochondria. Its best characterised activity is the generation of mature 5'-ends of tRNAs by cleaving the 5'-leader elements of precursor-tRNAs. Lineage: Bacteria; Candidatus Saccharimonadota. The record is from RNAcentral.
GCAGUCCACUAGGUGAUCGCUUGGCUUGGGUCAAGAGGAAAGUCCGGGCAGUGUAGGACAACGACAGUCGCUAACAGCGACCGGAGGUGACUCUAGGGAAAGUGCCACAGAAACGAAACUACCCCGAUGCUACGGUGUCCGGGAAAAGGUGAAACGAGUGAGGUAAGAGCUCACAGUCUGCCAUGGUGACAUGGCGGAGAGGUAAACCCUGUCGACUGCAAGGAGGUCUGCAUAAAGAGCUGUCCGCUCGCAGGCCGAUAACCGCUUGAGUCAUCUGGUAACAGGUGAAUUAGAUAGAUGAUCGCCCUCGACAGAACCCGGCUUAUCGGUGGGCUGCCAAG